GCUGCUUCCGCGGCGAGA
RNAcentral lists this small nuclear RNA (18 nucleotides) under Arabidopsis thaliana (thale cress). Its description in RNAcentral is "snRNA_08521". Lineage: Eukaryota; Viridiplantae; Streptophyta; Magnoliopsida; Brassicales; Brassicaceae. The record is from RNAcentral.